GGCUGGUCCCAGUACAGUGGUGUUCACAAGUAAUUGAUGGUAACCACACAACAAGUUACAGGUUCCUUUAUUUCUUCUCCAUUCCUACUGCUUCACUUGACUAGCCUAAA
RNAcentral lists this Y RNA (110 nucleotides) under Microcebus murinus (gray mouse lemur). Its description in RNAcentral is "Y RNA (ENSMICG00000020570.3)". It matches the Rfam family "Y RNA". From Rfam's summary of the family: Y RNAs are components of the Ro ribonucleoprotein particle (Ro RNP), in association with Ro60 and La proteins. Lineage: Eukaryota; Metazoa; Chordata; Mammalia; Primates; Cheirogaleidae. The record is from Rfam by way of RNAcentral.